Long non-coding RNA from Daphnia magna, 610 nucleotides. RefSeq lists it as uncharacterized. The transcript is spliced from 2 exons. Lineage: Eukaryota; Metazoa; Arthropoda; Branchiopoda; Diplostraca; Daphniidae. The record is from RefSeq and is a predicted model, not a curated record.
UAAGAUUGGGCCACAUGUGAUGCAAUUGUCUUUUUAUUCGUCCGAUUCCACUUUGAACGCUAUUUCUGUGUAUGCUCGGAUUUUUCUAAGCAGUUACUUCUGUCAUAAGUUAUUGUCUUGAUUUUUACUUUUAAUAUGAAACGUAUUUAACUGGAAAACAGUCUUGUGUGCACUCUGCAGUCUUUAUUAGUGAGAUGACUUCCUCUACUUAUGAAAGUAAUGACUUGGAUGAUGGUGAAGGCUUGAUUUCACGUAAAUAUGAAGAGAUAGAUGUUUCUAACAGAGAAAGUGAUGACUGUUGAUAGCCCUUUGAAAAAUCUACUUGUGGCGAAAAUUCUUCCACGAAGAACAAAAAAUCAUCUCCAUAUUCAGUUAUGUUCCACCAAUCAUAAAGUACUUUAGAAAGGAAGAAGUGUCCUCUAAAUCUACGAAGUAAAAAUGCCUCAUAGUUUGCCAGAACGAAGCGGUGACAGUCUUCAACAAAAUUUUGUUUGGUGCUAGAAGACAUGUUAAAGUAUGUCUCAAGUUUAAAAAAACUGCACUUUUGUGCCUUGUGUGAAUUUCAAAUUUAUUCACUGUAUCUUUUGUCUUAAUAAACAAUUAAAAGUUA